CCUACGGGAGGCAGCAGUGGGGAAUAUUGCACAAUGGGCGCAAGCCUGAUGCAGCCAUGCCGCGUGUGUGAAGAAGGCCUUCGGGUUGUAAAGCACUUUCAGCGGGGAGGAAGGCGUUAAGGUUAAUAACCCUGGCGAUUGACGUUACCCGCAGAAGAAGCACCGGCUAACUCCGUGCCAGCAGCCGCGGUAAUACGGAGGGUGCAAGCGUUAAUCGGAAUUACUGGGCGUAAAGCGCACGCAGGCGGUCUGUCAAGUCGGAUGUGAAAUCCCCGGGCUCAACCUGGGAACUGCAUUCGAAACUGGCAGGCUAGAGUCUUGUAGAGGGGGGUAGAAUUCCAGGUGUAGCGGUGAAAUGCGUAGAGAUCUGGAGGAAUACCGGUGGCGAAGGCGGCCCCCUGGACAAAGACUGACGCUCAGGUGCGAAAGCGUGGGGAGCAAACAGGAUUAGAUACCCCGGUAGUC
This 465-nucleotide ribosomal RNA is filed under the name uncultured Klebsiella sp. Its description in RNAcentral is "bacterial SSU rRNA". It matches the Rfam family "Bacterial small subunit ribosomal RNA", at positions 338 to 795 of the family's 1533-position model. Lineage: Bacteria; Pseudomonadati; Pseudomonadota; Gammaproteobacteria; Enterobacterales; Enterobacteriaceae. The record is from RNAcentral.